UGAGAGCUCUCUAGUUCUGUAUGAGCUCAGCCAUGAUACGCCUUUCCUUCCAUAACAACAGUGACAUCUGGGUUCAAACAAAACUUGUUAAGCUUUUUGGAAAACUUUGUAGCGUUUAGAGCAGAUACAGCUCUUCUAAGCACCACCACCUGUGAGUGGCAAAGUACUGUCCCUUUGUGUCCCCGCUCUCCUCUGUGCGAGAGCAAAAUGUGUAAAUUUGAGCAAGUGCAUUUGUCAGGAGAAGUAACUGAAGUCUCUCAGUUCCAGCACCACCUUUGAACAGAAGAAUUGCUUGCCUUCGAGAGUUCGUGCCCCUGAGUCCUUCCCGUACGCCAUGUCAUGGAAAGACUAUUUCUUCUUCCAGUCACACCCAAACGAACGCAUGCGGCUGAAUCAGCCACUCGGUCUCCAGGCAGGAGCUGCUGCUCAGCACAUUGAGGUCCUUCAGGGACCACCAAGAAGAUGACCUGUGAAGCCCUGGCUCAGCAGUGCCAGAGGCCAAGCUGAUCUAUCAAUCAGCUACUUCAUACCUACAGCACGGGAUGAAAUU
RNAcentral lists this long non-coding RNA (550 nucleotides) under Calidris pygmaea (Spoon-billed sandpiper). RNAcentral describes it as "lncRNA (ENSCPGG00000001316.1)". Lineage: Eukaryota; Metazoa; Chordata; Aves; Charadriiformes; Scolopacidae. The record is from RNAcentral.